Molecule: ribosomal RNA, 305 nt
Filed under: uncultured bacterium
Lineage: Bacteria
Description: bacterial SSU rRNA
Rfam family: Bacterial small subunit ribosomal RNA
Source: RNAcentral
UCCUACGGGGGGCAGCAGUAGGGAAUUUUCGUCAAUGGGCGCAAGCCUGAACGAGCAAUGCCGCGUGAACGAGGAAGGUCUUCGGAUCGUAAAGUUCUGUUGAAGGGGAAAAAGAGCGGAGAGAGGAAAUGGUCUCCGAUUGAUAUUACCCUUCGAGGAAGUCACGGCUAACUACGUGCCAGCAGCCGCGGUAAUACGUAGGUGGCGAGCGUUAUCCGGAAUGAUUGGGUGUAAAGGGUGCGUAGGCGGCCUGCUAAGUCUGGAGUGAAAGGUACCGGCUCAACCGGUACAGGCUCUGGAAACUG